UAAAAAUAUUAUGAUGGGGGUGUGGAGAAGGUGGCUGGGGUAUGGACAUUGGGAGGGUAUGUGAUGUGGUGAGCUAUGAAGUGUGUAAGUCUGACA
This is a long non-coding RNA of Mustela erminea (ermine), 96 nucleotides long. RefSeq lists it as uncharacterized. The transcript is spliced from 3 exons. Lineage: Eukaryota; Metazoa; Chordata; Mammalia; Carnivora; Mustelidae. The record is from RefSeq and is a predicted model, not a curated record.